AGCAGGGUGGCCUAGUGGAUCGAGCAUCUGCCUGGGAGUCAGAAGGACCUGGGUUCUAAUCCCGGCUCCACCA
RNAcentral lists this transfer RNA (73 nucleotides) under Ornithorhynchus anatinus (platypus). It matches the Rfam family "tRNA". From Rfam's summary of the family: Transfer RNA (tRNA) molecules are approximately 80 nucleotides in length. Their secondary structure includes four short double-helical elements and three loops (D, anti-codon, and T loops). Lineage: Eukaryota; Metazoa; Chordata; Mammalia; Monotremata; Ornithorhynchidae. The record is from Rfam by way of RNAcentral.